GACGUACGCGUAUGUCCGAUACCGUUUUUCAUGGAUUCCUAGACAGCUUGGACGCCUCCAUGAACUGGAGAACUCGUAAGGCUGCGUAAAACCAAGCCUGGAACUGAGCUCACCAGAAAAGAUCUGGCCAAUCCUUGUAUCCAUCCUGGAUCCAUCCUAGCUAAUGGAGGGGGCACUUACCGGCCACGUGACGGGUGAUGUACUCAAGGGUGACGGGAUCCUCGACCGUCAGUUUAUGGGACUGGCAUUCCACUCGGCCUUGAUUGAUCAAAAUCCGCGCAUCGGCCGUCAAACCCGCAAAAGCCAACAUGACGUGAUCGUCCAAGAGGCAAAUCUUCUGAACCGUCCGCUCUUCCUGCAACUUGG
Molecule: long non-coding RNA, 366 nt
Organism: Tigriopus californicus
Lineage: Eukaryota; Metazoa; Arthropoda; Copepoda; Harpacticoida; Harpacticidae
Exons: 2
Source: RefSeq, a predicted model, not a curated record